This 226-nucleotide unclassified non-coding RNA is filed under the name Hevea brasiliensis (rubber tree). The record is from RNAcentral. Lineage: Eukaryota; Viridiplantae; Streptophyta; Magnoliopsida; Malpighiales; Euphorbiaceae.
AAUCACAAAUUGCAAGCUGGAGUUCGGGAAUCAGUAAAUAUAGGGAGAUAUCAGAGGUUAGCUGGCAGACUAAUUUAUCGUUUGCAUACCAGACAAGAUAUAGCAUAUGCAGUGGGUCUAGUGAGUCAGUAUAUGCAUGAUCCUCGUGAACCUCAUUUAGAGGCUAUUUUCCGUAUCUUGUAAUACUUAAAUCUGCACCUGAGAAAUGACUUCUUUUCUCAAAGCA